RNAcentral lists this long non-coding RNA (421 nucleotides) under Rattus norvegicus (Norway rat). RNAcentral describes it as "long non-coding RNA NONRATT018238". Lineage: Eukaryota; Metazoa; Chordata; Mammalia; Rodentia; Muridae. The record is from RNAcentral.
GGAGAAAUACUUCCUGACCCGUCAGACUAUAAAUCUUCACUCAUAGCACUGACUGCUCAUAAUUGGCUGCUUCGUAUAUCAGCAACUACAGGGGAAAUCCUGGAGAAAAUAUACCUUGCUUCCUAUUGCAAAUUCAGGUACCUGAGCUGGGACACUCCUCAAGAGGUCAUUGCAGUGAAGUCGGCUCAGAACAAAGGGUCUGCAGCAGCUCGGCAGGUCCGCAGCCACCACACAGUCCUUGGGGUUGCACACUGUGAAAGCCAGUGCUGUUAAACUUAAGCAGACUUGAUAUGGGCUUCUCUCUAUUUUAUACUUAUUUAUUUGGGGUCCUGGGGAUUGAUCCAUGCAUGCCCCCCGUGCUCUAGUGUUCAGCUACAUCCCUUGGCUGUUCUCUCUAGAGAAUCAUCCAGAAUCGGUCAGA